This 253-nucleotide ribosomal RNA is filed under the name uncultured bacterium. RNAcentral describes it as "partial 16S ribosomal RNA". It matches the Rfam family "Bacterial small subunit ribosomal RNA", at positions 524 to 776 of the family's 1533-position model. The record is from RNAcentral.
UACAGAGGGUGCAAGCGUUGUUCGGAAUUAUUGGGCGUAAAGAGCUCGUAGGCGGUUUAUCGCGUCUGCCGUGAAAGUCCGGGGCUCAACUCCGGAUCUGCGGUGGGUACGGGCAGACUAGAGUGAUGUAGGGGAGACUGGAAUUCCUGGUGUAGCGGUGAAAUGCGCAGAUAUCAGGAGGAACACCGAUGGCGAAGGCAGGUCUCUGGGCAUUAACUGACGCUGAGGAGCGAAAGCAUGGGGAGCGAACAGG